UCCUGUGAAGUGUUUCAUUCUUCAACAUAUUACACAAACAGUGCCCAACGUUUCAACAGGAGGAAGCGAAGAGGUUAAAACUCACCGGAAGUGACGUCACUAACAGCAGCCGGACCCCCCCCACCACCCCAAAAAAAAGGAGAAUCAUAGCAGCAUCACCACCAAAAGGAGGGAAAAAAUAUGUCAGGCAGCGUUUCAGAGGAGGCUGCUGGUGUGUUUCUUGCUUUGGUGAAAGCAUGAUUGAACCCGAGGCGUUGUCCAGAUGCUGAUUCAUCUCUGAUCUAGAUUAUACCUCCAUGACAGCAGGGAUAAGAGGAAAUGUGAAUACGUGUAGUGUUGUGGUCACUAUGUAAAGUGGAAGCAGGCAGCAGAGGAUUGACUGGAAAACGACAGAUAACAAGGGCACAAUACAUCUAAAUGGAGUCAGAGCAGCUGUUCAACAGAGGCUACUGCAGGAACAGCUACAACAGCAUCACCAGCGCCAGCAGUGACGAGGAGCUGCUCGAUGGCGCCGGUGUCAUCAUGGACUUCCACACCACCGAGGACGACAACCUGCUUGACGGAGACGCUUCACCAGGUGCGAGCCUGCCACAUGUUCCUCUGUUCAUUCAGUCACUCUAAUCCAUCCCUAUCCAUCCAUCCAUCCAUCCAUCCAUCCAUCCAUUGAGUUGCAUUCCAUCUGUUCAUCCCUCCACCCAUCCAUCCACCCAUCAUCAUCCAUCCAUCCACUCAUCCAUCCACCCAUCGAGUCGCAUUCCAUCUGUUCACCCAUCCAUCAUUGAGUCCACAUUCCAUCUGUUUAUCCCUCCACCCAUCCAUCCACCCAUUGAGUCGCCAUCCUUCUGUUCAUCCCUCCACACAUCCACCCAUCCAUCCACCCAUCUGUCUACCCAUCCAUCCAUCCAUCCAUCCAUCGAGUCACAUUCUGUCCAUCCACCCAUCCAUCCACCAUCGUCAUCAACCAUCCAUCCACCAUCAUCAUCCAUCCAUCCAGUCACAUUCUAUCUGUUCAUCCCUCCACCCAUCCAGCCAUCCACUCAUUGUCACCAUCCUUCUGUCCAUCCAUCCAUCCAUCCAUCCAUCCAUCCAUCCAUCCAUCCAUUAUCCAUCCAGCCAUCAUUCAUCCACCCAUUGAGCUGUCAUCCAUCUGUUCAUCCCUUCAUUCUUCCAUCCAUCAUCCAUCUAUUCAUCUCAUCACCCAUCCACUCCACCCAUCCAUUCCUUCAUCCGUCUAUUCCUCCACCCGUCCAUCCCUCCACCCACCCAUCCAUCCAUCCAUCUUUCCACCCCCCACUGAUCCAUUCAUCCAUCCAUCUAUUCAUUCAUCCAUCUAUCCACCCAUUGAGCCACCAUCCAUUCAACAAGCCACCAUCCAUCCUUCCAUCCCUCCAUCCAUAUUGUGAGUUUGAAUUUCAUGGGAUUUCUUUUGGAUUCCUUGUUUCACACAUGCAACCCUUUUCCUGCUCAAAUUACUAGAGUCUUCUCAGUUUUUUGAACUGUCCAGUAUCCAAAUAUUUUAUUUGCAGUAAACAUUACAGGUCUUUUACAGGUUUUUUGGUUUACUUUUCAGUCUUCUGGCCUAAAGCAGGGAACAGGACAAAUGCAUCAUAAAAUGUCAAUAUCUUUUGUUUACACUUAACACUUACUAGGAAAUUUGAUUGAGGUCAGAUUUUUCUGACAUUUAUAUUUCAGU
Molecule: long non-coding RNA, 1693 nt
Organism: Neoarius graeffei (lesser salmon catfish)
Lineage: Eukaryota; Metazoa; Chordata; Actinopteri; Siluriformes; Ariidae
Exons: 4
Source: RefSeq, a predicted model, not a curated record